This 1062-nucleotide ribosomal RNA is filed under the name Bacteroides ovatus. RNAcentral describes it as "bacterial SSU rRNA". It matches the Rfam family "Bacterial small subunit ribosomal RNA", at positions 213 to 1278 of the family's 1533-position model. Lineage: Bacteria; Pseudomonadati; Bacteroidota; Bacteroidia; Bacteroidales; Bacteroidaceae. The record is from RNAcentral.
UUUCGGUUAUCGAUGGGGAUGCGUUCCAUUAGUUUGUUGGCGGGGUAACGGCCCACCAAGACUACGAUGGAUAGGGGUUCUGAGAGGAAGGUCCCCCACAUUGGAACUGAGACACGGUCCAAACUCCUACGGGAGGCAGCAGUGAGGAAUAUUGGUCAAUGGGCGAGAGCCUGAACCAGCCAAGUAGCGUGAAGGAUGAAGGCUCUAUGGGUCGUAAACUUCUUUUAUAUGGGAAUAAAGUUUUCCACGUGUGGAAUUUUGUAUGUACCAUAUGAAUAAGGAUCGGCUAACUCCGUGCCAGCAGCCGCGGUAAUACGGAGGAUCCGAGCGUUAUCCGGAUUUAUUGGGUUUAAAGGGAGCGUAGGUGGAUUGUUAAGUCAGUUGUGAAAGUUUGCGGCUCAACCGUAAAAUUGCAGUUGAAACUGGCAGUCUUGAGUACAGUAGAGGUGGGCGGAAUUCGUGGUGUAGCGGUGAAAUGCUUAGAUAUCACGAAGAACUCCGAUUGCGAAGGCAGCUCACUAGACUGUCACUGACACUGAUGCUCGAAAGUGUGGGUAUCAAACAGGAUUAGAUACCCUGGUAGUCCACACAGUAAACGAUGAAUACUCGCUGUUUGCGAUAUACAGUAAGCGGCCAAGCGAAAGCAUUAAGUAUUCCACCUGGGGAGUACGCCGGCAACGGUGAAACUCAAAGGAAUUGACGGGGGCCCGCACAAGCGGAGGAACAUGUGGUUUAAUUCGAUGAUACGCGAGGAACCUUACCCGGGCUUAAAUUGCAACAGAAUAUAUUGGAAACAGUAUAGCCGUAAGGCUGUUGUGAAGGUGCUGCAUGGUUGUCGUCAGCUCGUGCCGUGAGGUGUCGGCUUAAGUGCCAUAACGAGCGCAACCCUUAUCUUUAGUUACUAACAGGUCAUGCUGAGGACUCUAGAGAGACUGCCGUCGUAAGAUGUGAGGAAGGUGGGGAUGACGUCAAAUCAGCACGGCCCUUACGUCCGGGGCUACACACGUGUUACAAUGGGGGGUACAGAAGGCAGCUACCUGGCGACAGGAUGCUAAUCCCAAA